GGAAUUCCUAGNGUAGCGGUGAAAUGCGUAGAUAUUNGGAAGAACACCAGUGGCGAAGGCGACUUUCUGGACGAAAACUGACGCUGAGGCGCGAAAGCCAGGGGAGCGAACGGGAUUAGAUACCCCGGUAGUCCUGNCCGUAAACGAUGGGUACUAGGUGUAGGAGGUAUCGACCCNUUCUGUGCCGGAGUUAACGCAAUAAGUACCCCGCCUGGGGAGUACGACCGCAAGGUUGAAACUCAAAGGAAUUGACGGGGGCCCGCACAAGCGGUGGAGUAUGUGGUUUAAUUCGACGCAACGCGAAGAACCUUACCAGGUCUUGACAUUGAUGGACAGAACCAGAGAUGGUUCCUCUUCUUCGGAAGCCAGAAAACAGGUGGUGCACGGUUGUCGUCAGCUCGUGUCGUGAGAUGUUGGGUUAAGNCCCGCAACGAGCGCAACCCCUAUCUUAUGUUGCCAGCACUUUGGGUGGGGACUCAUGAGAGACUGCCGCAGACAAUGCGGAGGAAGGCGGGGAUGACGUCAAAUCAUCAUGCCCCUUAUGACCUGGGCUACACACGUACUACAAUGGGAGUUAAUAGACGGAAGCGAGAUCGCGAGAUGGAGCAAACCCGAGAAACACUCUCUCAGUUCGGAUCGUAGGCUGCAACUNG
RNAcentral lists this ribosomal RNA (653 nucleotides) under uncultured bacterium. RNAcentral describes it as "bacterial SSU rRNA". It matches the Rfam family "Bacterial small subunit ribosomal RNA", at positions 663 to 1314 of the family's 1533-position model. The record is from RNAcentral.